RNAcentral lists this ribosomal RNA (402 nucleotides) under uncultured Lactobacillaceae bacterium. RNAcentral's name for it is "partial 16S ribosomal RNA". Lineage: Bacteria; Bacillati; Bacillota; Bacilli; Lactobacillales; Lactobacillaceae. The record is from RNAcentral.
CACGUAGUUAGCCGUGACUUUCUGGUUGGAUACCGUCACUGCGUGAACAGUUACUCUCACGCACGUUCUUCUCCAACAACAGAGCUUUACGAGCCGAAACCCUUCUUCACUCACGCGGUGUUGCUCCAUCAGGCUUGCGCCCCAUUGUGGAAGAUUCCCUACUGCUGCCUCCCGUAGGAGUAUGGACCGUGUCUCAGUUCCAUUGUGGCCGAUCAGUCUCUCAACUCGGCUAUGCAUCAUCGCCUUGGUAACGCCGUUACCUUACCAACUAGCUAAUGACACCGCAGGUCCAUCCCAGACGUGAUAGACCAAAGCCAUACUUUACAAAACAAAACGCCUAAUGUGGUACUUUUUGUUGUUAUGACGGUUAUUAGCAUCUGUUUCCAAAUGUUACUCCCCCGA